GAUGAACGCUGGCGGCGUGCCUAAUACAUGCAAGUCGAGCGAACAGAUGAGGAGCUUGCUCCUCUGACGUUAGCGGCGGACGGGUGAGUAACACGUGGAUAACCUACCUAUAAGACUGGGAUAACUUCGGGAAACCGGAGCUAAUACCGGAUAAUAUAUUGAACCGCAUGGUUCAAUAGUGAAAGACGGUUUUGCUGUCACUUAUAGAUGGAUCCGCGCCGCAUUAGCUAGUUGGUAAGGUAACGGCUUACCAAGGCAACGAUGCGUAGCCGACCUGAGAGGGUGAUCGGCCCCACGGGAACUGGGACACGGUCCAGACUCCUACGGGAGGCAGCAGUAGGGAAUCUUCCGCAAUGGGCGAAAGCCUGACGGAGCAACGCCGCGUGAGUGAUGAAGGUCUUCGGAUCGUAAAACUCUGUUAUUAGGGAAGAACAAAUGUGUAAGUAACUAUGCACGUCUUGACGGUACCUAAUCAGAAAGCCACGGCUAACUACGUG
RNAcentral lists this ribosomal RNA (497 nucleotides) under uncultured bacterium. Its description in RNAcentral is "partial 16S ribosomal RNA". It matches the Rfam family "Bacterial small subunit ribosomal RNA", at positions 28 to 507 of the family's 1533-position model. The record is from RNAcentral.